Molecule: small nucleolar RNA, 73 nt
Organism: Osmerus eperlanus (European smelt)
Lineage: Eukaryota; Metazoa; Chordata; Actinopteri; Osmeriformes; Osmeridae
Product: small nucleolar RNA SNORD50
Exons: 1
Source: RefSeq, a predicted model, not a curated record
CUGAUGUGAUGACUUUAUCCCGAACCUGAGUUCAUGUGAAUGAAAUGGUUUAUACGGAUCUGAUUUCUGAUCU